CCUACGGGAGGCAGCAGUGAGGAAUAUUGGUCAAUGGGCUUACGCCUGAACCAGCCAAGUCGCGUGAGGGAAGACUGCCCUAUGGGUUGUAAACCUCUUUUGUCAGGGAGCAAUUGGCGCUACGUGUAGCGUUAUCGAGAGUACCUGAAGAAAAAGCAUCGGCUAACUCCGUGCCAGCAGCCGCGGUAAUACGGAGGAUGCGAGCGUUAUCCGGAAUAACUGGGCGUAAGGGAUGCGUAGGCGGUUAAACAAGUUAUAUGUUAAAUAUAUAGGCUUAACCUGUAGAAAGCAUAUAAAACUGUGGAACUAGAGUGCAGGAGAGGUAAGUGGAAUUCCUAGUGUAGCGGUGAAAUGCGUAGAGAUUAGGAAGAACACCAGUGGCGAAGGCGACUUACUGGACUGUAACUGACGCUGAGGCAUGAGAGCAUGGGGAGCAAACAGGAUUAGAUACCCUGGUAGUC
Molecule: ribosomal RNA, 461 nt
Filed under: uncultured bacterium
Lineage: Bacteria
Description: partial 16S ribosomal RNA
Rfam family: Bacterial small subunit ribosomal RNA
Source: RNAcentral